Bradyrhizobium erythrophlei is the source of this 49-nucleotide non-coding RNA. The record is from Rfam. Lineage: Bacteria; Pseudomonadati; Pseudomonadota; Alphaproteobacteria; Hyphomicrobiales; Nitrobacteraceae.
CGGGGAAACACAGGCUCCCCGCCAGACGGUCAAACCGUCCAAGCUCUGU